UACGGGGGGGGCAAGCGUUGUUCGGAAUUACUGGGCGUAAAGGGUUCGUAGGUGGCCAACUAAGUCAGACGUGAAAUCCCUCAGCUUAACUGGGGAACUGCAUCUGAUACUGGUGUGGCUUGAGUGCAGGAGAGGAACGCGGAAUUCCAGGUGUAGCGGUGAAAUGCGUAGAUAUCUGGAGGAACACCGGUGGCGAAGGCGGCGUUCUGGACUGCAACUGACACUGAGGAACGAAAGCCAGGGGAGCAAACGGG
RNAcentral lists this ribosomal RNA (254 nucleotides) under uncultured bacterium. RNAcentral describes it as "partial 16S ribosomal RNA". It matches the Rfam family "Bacterial small subunit ribosomal RNA", at positions 524 to 776 of the family's 1533-position model. The record is from RNAcentral.